Molecule: ribosomal RNA, 437 nt
Filed under: Sporothrix schenckii
Lineage: Eukaryota; Fungi; Ascomycota; Sordariomycetes; Ophiostomatales; Ophiostomataceae
Description: eukaryotic LSU rRNA
Rfam family: 5.8S ribosomal RNA (bases 93-246)
Source: RNAcentral
CUCCGCCCCGCCCGCCAGGGGCGGCGGGCCCUACGAACCUUUGUAUCUCAACCACUAGAAAACCGUCUGAGGAAAACAAACAAAAUAAUCAAAACUUUCAACAACGGAUCUCUUGGCUCUGGCAUCGAUGAAGAACGCAGCGAAAUGCGAUACGUAAUGUGAAUUGCAGAAUUCAGCGAACCAUCGAAUCUUUGAACGCACAUUGCGCCCGCCAGCAUUCUGGCGGGCAUGCCUGUCCGAGCGUCAUUUCCCCCCUCACGCGCCCCGUUGCGCGCUGGUGUUGGGGCGCCUCCGCCUGGCGGAGGCCCCCGAAAGCGAGUGGCGGGCCCUGUGGAUGGCUCCGAGCGCAGUACCGAACGCAACGUUCUCCCUCGCUCCGGACGCCCCCCAGGUGCCCUGCCGUGAAAACGCGCAUGACGUGCAACUCUUACCCAAGG